RNAcentral lists this ribosomal RNA (253 nucleotides) under uncultured bacterium. RNAcentral's name for it is "partial 16S ribosomal RNA". It matches the Rfam family "Bacterial small subunit ribosomal RNA", at positions 524 to 776 of the family's 1533-position model. The record is from RNAcentral.
UACAGAGGGUGCGAGCGUUGUCCGGAAUCACUGGGCGGAAAGGGCGCGUAGGUGGCCCGACAAGGCACUGGGGAAAGCUCGAUGCUCAACAUCGAGUCGGCCAGUGAUACUGUUGGGCUGGAGCACUGUAGAGGCUAAUGGAAUUCCGGGUGUAGCGGUGGAAUGCGUAGAGAUCCGGAAGAACACCGGUGGCGAAGGCGGUUAGCUGGGCAGUUGCUGACACUGAGGCGCGACAGCGUGGGGAGCAAACAGG